Molecule: ribosomal RNA, 1434 nt
Rfam family: Bacterial small subunit ribosomal RNA
CGCCGUGCGGGGUGCUACACAUGCAAGUCGACGAUGAAGCCCUUCGGGGUGGAUUAGUGGCGAACGGGUGAGUAACACGUGGGCAAUCUGCCCUUCACUCUGGGACAAGCCCUGGAAACGGGGUCUAAUACCGGAUAACACUCUGUCCCGCAUGGGACGGGGUUGAAAGCUCCGGCGGUGAAGGAUGAGCCCGCGGCCUAUCAGCUUGUUGGUGGGGUAAUGGCCUACCAAGGCGACGACGGGUAGCCGGCCUGAGAGGGCGACCGGCCACACUGGGACUGAGACACGGCCCAGACUCCUACGGGAGGCAGCAGUGGGGAAUAUUGCACAAUGGGCGAAAGCCUGAUGCAGCGACGCCGCGUGAGGGAUGACGGCCUUCGGGUUGUAAACCUCUUUCAGCAGGGAAGAAGCGAAAGUGACGGUACCUGCAGAAGAAGCGCCGGCUAACUACGUGCCAGCAGCCGCGGUAAUACGUAGGGCGCAAGCGUUGUCCGGGAAUUAUUGGGCGUAAAGAGCUCGUAGGCGGCUUGUCACGUCGGAUGUGAAAGCCCGGGGCUUAACCCCGGGUCUGCAUUCGAUACGGGCUAGCUAGAGUGUGGUAGGGGAGAUCGGAAUUCCUGGUGUAGCGGUGAAAUGCGCAGAUAUCAGGAGGAACACCGGUGGCGAAGGCGGAUCUCUGGGCCAUUACUGACGCUGAGGAGCGAAAGCGUGGGGAGCGAACAGGAUUAGAUACCCUGGUAGUCCACGCCGUAAACGUUGGGAACUAGGUGUUGGCGACAUUCCACGUCGUCGGUGCCGCAGCUAACGCAUUAAGUUCCCCGCCUGGGGAGUACGGCCGCAAGGCUAAAACUCAAAGGAAUUGACGGGGGCCCGCACAAGCAGCGGAGCAUGUGGCUUAAUUCGACGCAACGCGAAGAACCUUACCAAGGCUUGACAUAUACCGGAAAGCAUCAGAGAUGGUGCCCCCCUUGUGGUCGGUAUACAGGUGGUGCAUGGCUGUCGUCAGCCUCGUGUCGUGAGAAUGUUGGGUUAAGUCCCGCAACGAGCGCAACCCUUGUUCUGUGUUGCCAGCAUGCCCUUCGGGGUGAUGGGGACUCACAGGAGACUGCCGGGGUCAACUCGGAGGAAGGUGGGGACGACGUCAAGUCAUCAUGCCCCUUAUGUCUUGGGCUGCACACGUGCUACAAUGGCCGGUACAAUGAGCUGCGAUGCCGCGAGGCGGAGCGAAUCUCAAAAAGCCGGUCUCAGUUCGGAUUGGGGUCUGCAACUCGACCCCAUGAAGUCGGAGUUGCUAGUAAUCGCAGAUCAGCAUUGCUGCGGUGAAUACGUUCCCGGGCCUUGUACACACCGCCCGUCACGUCACGAAAGUCGGUAACACCCGAAGCCGGUGGCCCAACCCCUUGUGGGAGGGAGCUUCGAAGGUGACCGCGAGUG